This 433-nucleotide ribosomal RNA is filed under the name uncultured bacterium. Its description in RNAcentral is "partial 16S ribosomal RNA". It matches the Rfam family "Bacterial small subunit ribosomal RNA", at positions 29 to 507 of the family's 1533-position model. The record is from RNAcentral.
AACGAACGCUGGCGGCAUGCCUAACACAUGCAAGUCGAACGAUCCCUUCGGGGAUAGUGGCGCACGGGUGCGUAACGCGUGGGAACCUGCCCUUAGGUUCGGAAUAACUCAGAGAAAUUUGAGCUAAUACCGGAUAAUGUCUUCGGACCAAAGAUUUAUCGCCUUUGGAUGGGCCCGCGUUGGAUUAGCUAGUUGGUGGGGUAAAGGCCUACCAAGGCGACGAUCCAUAGCUGGUCUGAGAGGAUGAUCAGCCACUCUGGGACUGAGACACGGCCCAGACUCCUACGGGAGGCAGCAGUGGGGAAUAUUGGACAAUGGGCGAAAGCCUGAUCCAGCAAUGCCGCGUGAGUGAUGAAGGCCUUAGGGUUGUAAAGCUCUUUUACCCGGGAUGAUAAUGACAGUACCGGGAGAAUAAGCCCCGGCUAACUCCGUG